RNAcentral lists this ribosomal RNA (422 nucleotides) under uncultured bacterium. Its description in RNAcentral is "bacterial SSU rRNA". It matches the Rfam family "Bacterial small subunit ribosomal RNA", at positions 354 to 776 of the family's 1533-position model. The record is from RNAcentral.
GUGGGGAAUCUUGCGCAAUGGCCGAAAGGCUGACGCAGCGACGCCGCGUGUGGGAGGACGCCCUUCGGGGUGUAAACCACUGUUGCCCGGGACGAACACACCGUUUCGACGGUGCUGACGGUACCGGGUGAGGAAGCACCGGCUAACUCCGUGCCAGCAGCCGCGGUAAUACGGAGGGUGCGAGCGUUGUCCGGAAUCACUGGGCGUAAAGGGCGCGUAGGCGGCUUCUUAAGCGUGCGGUGAAAGCUCGGGGCUCAACCCCGAGUCGGCCGUGCGAACUGGGGAGCUCGAGCACUGUAGAGGCAGGUGGAAUUCCGGGUGUAGCGGUGGAAUGCGUAGAGAUCCGGAAGAACACCGGUGGCGAAGGCGGCCUGCUGGGCAGUGGCUGACGCUGAGGCGCGACAGCGUGGGGAGCAAACAGG